UACCGGUUAAUCUUUGCCAGCUGCAGCGUUAAAGCAAGUGGUGUAAACGUUCUAUAGGUUUAUUAGGUGUAAAGAGUGAUUUGGAAUGUGAAUAGGAAUCUGUUUUUCAAAUCUCC
RNAcentral lists this ribosomal RNA (116 nucleotides) under Alexandrium margalefii. RNAcentral's name for it is "partial Bacterial small subunit ribosomal RNA". Lineage: Eukaryota; Dinophyceae; Gonyaulacales; Pyrocystaceae. The record is from RNAcentral.